CCUACGGGAGGCAGCAGUGGGGAAUAUUGCGCAAUGGGCGAAAGCCUGACGCAGCGACGCCGCGUGAGGGAUGAAGGUCUUCGGAUCGUAAACUUCUGUCAGCAGGGAAGAACGGUCACUGUGCUAAUCAGUAGUGAAUUGACGGUACCUGCUCAGGAAGCACUGGCUAACUCCGUGACAGCAGCCGCGGUGAUACAGAGGGUGCGAGCGUUAAUCGGAAUUACUGGGCGUAAAGCGCUCGUAGGCGGUAUGUCAAGUCAAGGGUGAAAUCCCCGCGCUCCACGUGGGAGCUGCCUUUGAAACUGGCAAACGAGAGUGUGUGUGAGGAUAGUGGAAUUCCAGGUGAAGGAGUGAAAUCCGUAGAUAUCUGGAGGAACAUCAGUGGCGAAGGCGACUAUCUGGCACAUAACUGACGCUGAGGAGCGAAAGCGUGGGUAGCAAACAGGAUUAGAUACCCCUGUAGUC
RNAcentral lists this ribosomal RNA (465 nucleotides) under uncultured bacterium. RNAcentral describes it as "partial 16S ribosomal RNA". It matches the Rfam family "Bacterial small subunit ribosomal RNA", at positions 338 to 795 of the family's 1533-position model. The record is from RNAcentral.